GACGAACGCUGGCGGCGUGCUUAACACAUGCAAGUCGAACGGAAAGGCCCUGCUUUUGUGGGGUGCUCGAGUGGCGAACGGGUGAGUAACACGUGAGUAACCUGCCCUUGACUUUGGGAUAACUUCAGGAAACUGGGGCUAAUACCGGAUAGGAGCUCCUGCUGCAUGGUGGGCGUUGGAAAGUUUCGGCGGUUGGGGAUGGACUCGCGGCUUAUCCGCUUGUUGGUGGGGUAGUGGCUUACCAAGGCUUUGACGGGUAGCCGGCCUGGGCGGGUGACCGGCCACAUUGGGCCUGAGAUACGGCCCAGACUCCUACGGUACGCAGCAGUGGGGAAUAUUGCACAAUGGGCGGAAGCCUGAUGCAGCAACGCCGCGUGCGGUAUGACGUCCUUCGGGUUGUAAACCGCUUUCGCCUGUGACGAAGCGUGAGUGACGGUAAUGGGUAAAGAAGCACCGGCUAACUACGUG
This 468-nucleotide ribosomal RNA is filed under the name uncultured bacterium. RNAcentral's name for it is "partial 16S ribosomal RNA". It matches the Rfam family "Bacterial small subunit ribosomal RNA", at positions 28 to 507 of the family's 1533-position model. The record is from RNAcentral.